Molecule: transfer RNA, 72 nt
Filed under: Cordylochernes scorpioides
Lineage: Eukaryota; Metazoa; Arthropoda; Arachnida; Pseudoscorpiones; Chernetidae
Description: tRNA-Glu
Rfam family: tRNA
About the family: Transfer RNA (tRNA) molecules are approximately 80 nucleotides in length. Their secondary structure includes four short double-helical elements and three loops (D, anti-codon, and T loops). Further hydrogen bonds mediate the characteristic L-shaped molecular structure. tRNAs have two regions of fundamental functional importance: the anti-codon, which is responsible for specific mRNA codon recognition, and the 3' end, to which the tRNAs corresponding amino acid is attached (by aminoacyl-tRNA synthetases). tRNAs cope with the degeneracy of the genetic code in two manners: having more than one tRNA (with a specific anti-codon) for a particular amino acid; and 'wobble' base-pairing, i.e. permitting non-standard base-pairing at the 3rd anti-codon position.
Source: RNAcentral
UCCCACGUGGUCUAGUGGCUAGGAUAUUUGACUUUCACCCAGAAGGCCCGGGUUCGAUUCCCGGUGUGGGAA